CCUACGGGAGGCAGCAGUGGGGAAUAUUGCACAAUGGGGGCAACCCUGAAGCAGCGACGCCGCGUGAGGGAUGAAGUUCUUCGGUAUUUUAAGCCCUAUUAGCAGGGAAGCAAAUGACGGUACCUGAGUCAGAAGCCCCGGCUAACUACGUGCCAGCAGCCGCGGUAAUACGGAGGGGGCAAGCGUUAUCCGGAUUUACUGGGGGUAAAGGGAGCGUAGACGGGAUUGCAAGUCUGGUGUGAAAGGCGGGGGCUCAACCACCGGACUGCGGUGGAAACUGGUCGUCUAGAGUGCAGGAGAGGUAAGUGGAAUUCGUGGUGGAGCGGUGAAAUGCGUAGAGAUCACGAGGAACACCGAGGGCGAAGGCGGCUUACGGGAGCGUAACUGACGUUGAGGCUCGAAAGCGUGGGGAGCAAACAGGAUUAGAUACCCGGGUAGUC
RNAcentral lists this ribosomal RNA (440 nucleotides) under uncultured bacterium. RNAcentral's name for it is "partial 16S ribosomal RNA". It matches the Rfam family "Bacterial small subunit ribosomal RNA", at positions 338 to 795 of the family's 1533-position model. The record is from RNAcentral.